ACUGUGGUAGCUUGCUUAGCCUGCCUGCCCUCGGGUCAGGGCAGCAAUGUGGAGAGAUAACCACUUCACCUGAGCCUGCUUCCCACAGAGAUGUGUUACAGUUCCCUUUCCCACAUGCUCCUCCUUAAAGCAAAUACAUGUCAACAUCCUAACGGUCCCAAGAAUUUAUAAAUUGUAUAUAGACUGCCUAUAUCACCUUAUUUCUUCUUUGUCAAGGAAAUCUCAUUAGUAAAGAGGAAUGAAAACUGUAGGACUACCCACAAAUGAUGACUGAGUUAAAAGAGCACUCAACAACUAAAGUAGCUGAAAAUAUGCAGGGAACUGAUGUGCUGGCACCCCAGAGGAGAAAAGCUGCAUCUCUUUCUUAUGUCACAGAAACAUUCCUCCGUGGACUGAAGGGUUGGAAGCUCAAGUGGAGAAAACUCACUUGACAGGAAGCAGGCAAAUUGUCAUCUGCAGUCUAUUGAAGAAAAGAUUUGCAUUUUAUUCCUCCCUGGAGACAGGUUAUAAGAAAGAAGAAUUAGCAGGUAAAAUGGAGCAAG
Long non-coding RNA from Corapipo altera (White-ruffed manakin), 542 nucleotides. RefSeq lists it as uncharacterized. The transcript has 4 exons. NCBI's taxonomy places the organism in Eukaryota, Metazoa, Chordata, Aves, Passeriformes, Pipridae. The record is from RefSeq and is a predicted model, not a curated record.